CGGAGGAAAAGAAACCAACAGGGAUUGCCUCAGUAACGGCGAGUGAAGCGGCAAAAGCUCAAAUUUGAAAUCCCCCGGGAAUUGUAAUUUGAAGAGAUUUGGGUCCGGCCGGCNGGGGUUAAGUCCACUGGAAAGUGGCGCCACAGAGGGUGACAGCCCCGUGAACCCCUUUAACGCCCUCAUCCCAGAUCUCCAAGAGUCGAGUUGUUUGGGAAUGCAGCUCUAAGUGGGUGGUAAAUUCCAUCUAAAGCUAAAUACCGGCGAGAGACCGAUAGCGAACAAGUACAGUGAUGGAAAGAUGAAAAGCACUUUGAAAAGAGAGUGAAAAAGUACGUGAAAUUGUUGAAAGGGAAGGGCUUGCAAGCAGACACUUAACUGGGCCAGCAUCGGGGCGGCGGGNANCAAAACCACCGGGGAAUGUACCUUUCGAGGAUUAUAACCCCGGCCCUU
Molecule: ribosomal RNA, 450 nt
Filed under: Metschnikowia sp. (in: budding yeasts & allies)
Lineage: Eukaryota; Fungi; Ascomycota; Pichiomycetes; Serinales; Metschnikowiaceae
Description: Metschnikowia sp. (in: Fungi) partial large subunit ribosomal RNA
Rfam family: Eukaryotic large subunit ribosomal RNA
Source: RNAcentral